Molecule: transfer RNA, 69 nt
Filed under: Marmota monax (woodchuck)
Lineage: Eukaryota; Metazoa; Chordata; Mammalia; Rodentia; Sciuridae
Rfam family: tRNA
About the family: Transfer RNA (tRNA) molecules are approximately 80 nucleotides in length. Their secondary structure includes four short double-helical elements and three loops (D, anti-codon, and T loops).
Source: Rfam by way of RNAcentral
GGGGCUGUAGCUCAUUGGUAGAGCGCCCGCCUCACACAUGUGAGGCAUUGGGUUCAAUCCUCAGCACCA